AUGCUCUAACCAACUGAGCUGACUAGCCAGCCCUGUUUUUCAUUAUAAAGGCGUGUGAUUAUUGCAUUGCAUAAGUUUUCUUUCAAUAUUUUUUCCUGUGUAUGUAUAUGUGCAUAUUUAUAUAUUUAGUAAUGCAUUGAUAUUCUUUUAUAUGCUAAUAUUUUUCAUUCAAGUACAUUUCUUGUUAAAUAUUCUUUAUACCAUAAUUUAUCUCAUCAGUCCCAACUUGUUGAACAUUUGAUAUUUUUUUAUUUCGUCAAUAAGAAAAAAUGUUGCAAAUGACAUAGUUUCACCCCAUCCCCUAUAAAGUCUCUAGGUUAAAUUAGCAGAUAAUUGAAGUUUCGGGCCAAAGAAUAAGAAUGUUUUAUGAGAGAGCACAGAUUCUUUUAAUGCUCUAGCUUAAGACUUAUUGUGAAGAUGAAGAAUGAGAUAAUGAACCCUAGUACAUGUCAUGGACUCAUUCUUUCAUUUUAAAUGUUUCUUUAGAAAUGGUUCACCAAAUCACCAGCCAGAGCCUCCCCCUCCAGUCACAGAUAACCUCUUGCCAACAACCACACCUCAGGAAGCUCAACAGUGGUUGCAUCGAAACCGCUUUUCUACUUUCACAUGGCUUUUCACAAACUUCUCAGGAGCAGAUUUAUUGAAACUAACUAGAGAUGAUGUGAUCCAAAUCUGUGGCCCCGCAGAUGGAAUCAGACUUUUUAAUGCAUUAAAAGGCCGGUAUGUAAUUAGUUUUAAAAUAUCAAUGAGGUUUGAUUUCAGAUGGAUUUGGAAUCAGGGAUUCUUCAUAAUAUUCCGCACAGCUAAAUACGUCUUGUCAAAAAAAUUUUUUUUAUUGUCAUUUUCAUUGUGACUAUUUCAGGAAAC
Galeopterus variegatus (Sunda flying lemur) is the source of this 867-nucleotide long non-coding RNA. RefSeq lists it as uncharacterized. Lineage: Eukaryota; Metazoa; Chordata; Mammalia; Dermoptera; Cynocephalidae. The transcript has 3 exons. The record is from RefSeq and is a predicted model, not a curated record.